CCAUCCAAACUGAUUUUAAAACUCCCCAACUUAAUUUCAAACGAAUUCAAACUGCCAUAUAACUCAAAUGAAAAUCUAUAGCCACCGCGUCAGUCACUUUCCCCAAAUCUCUCAACCUGUCUUCCCUUUUUUCUGCCGACAAUAGAGGGUUCUUGCUGCCGAUCUCCGUGUGGUGCUCACUUUCCCUAAAUCUCCUUCCUUGUGCGGAGAGUAGAGGCUUGUUGCUGCGAAAUCUCUCUGCUUGGGUUCUUGUUGUUUUGCCAAGCGUAGAGUCUUGUUGCUGCCGAUCUCCAUGCGUUGCUCACUUUUUCUGGUGAGUUCUUGGACCGGAUCUUGCUGCUGAGCCUAUUUGCCGAGCAUAGAGUUCUUGUUUUGCCGAGGGUAGAGUCUUGUUGUCGAGCCUAUUUACUACAAAUCUUGGACCGGAUCUUUGAUCAGGAGGCAAUUGAGACAUAGAUUGAGGUGUCCACGUACAUCCAUCUUUUGGUAGGUAUCAAUGGCAUUCAAUUGUUGCACCUUCAUUAUGGUCACUCUGCGGGAAGUCUAGAGUCAUUUUCAUUGAACAUACAUACCCUGAUGUAAAUUGUUAAGACAUAUAUAUAUCUUAAGCAAUAGAUGUUUAUGUUGAUUAAUGUUGCCACUACGAGAUGGCACGGAUGACAUUAUUUUGAAUCAUAUAAAUGUGAAUAUAUGGUUUCGAUAGAAAAGUAUUGAAAUGCUCGUUGAUAAGAAUUACGAAAUACGGUUGUAAGAACGAAUGAUGAAAUCGAUGAAUAGAGUCACAUAGAUAGGCUUGCUUGGGCUUAGUGGGCUAUGUCCAUUGAGUUCAAGCGCUGGUCAUGGCUUGGGAUUUAGGUCGUGACAAGAUCUUUCCUCCCGGUUUCUUUGACUCUAUGGAGCAUAUGCCGAUUCAUUUACCUUACGAGGCAAAGGUUGGUGGACCCGUCUAGUAUCGAUGGAUGUAUCCAUUUGAGAGUGCAAACAAGAUUAAAUAGAGUGCCACGUAAUGAUGAUGGGGGAGACAUGGACUCUCAGGGUCGUCUUUCAAUUUUCACUCAUCUUGGGUGAGCUUUUGGUCCAUUAGAUAAAUCUCGAUUUUUAGAUGAGGAUGAGUUUUAUGCUGCUGAGCUAUAUGUUUUAAUGAAUUGUGAAGAGAUGCUCCCAUAUAUAAAGAUGUUUGAUGAAAUGAUCAAGGGAGAUGUUAUGCAUAUAUCGGAAGAUGAAUUGGAGAAAGUAUGUGAUGCAAGAUUCGUUAAAUGGUUUAAAAAUUAUGUUGCAACACGUAUGGAUGAAAUUGACCCACGUAUACUUGAAAUCUCUCAUGGUCCAAGACGUAUGAUAAGGUGUUACAAAGAAUACUUUGUAAAUAGUUUCAAGUUUCACACCUUAGAUUACGACCAAAAUCGUAAGACAAUGAAUAGUGGGGUUGCAUAAAAUGGAGUUUUUACAAUGAUUAUGAGCAUGACUUUUAUGGUAUUUUAGUGGAUAUAAUCGAGUUGGAGUAUUUUGGUAUCGAAAAUAAAGUUGUGCUAUUUAAGUGUCAUUGGUUUGACAAUGAAAAAGGUAUUAAGGUAGAUCCUUUGCAUGGUCUUGUUGAUAUUAAAUACAAUUCAAUACUUGCCAGUAAUGAACCAUUUGUUUUAGCUGCACAAGCUCAUCAAGUUUAUUAUAGUAGUUAUCCAUCAAGGAAAAGAGAUUGACAUGAUUAGUGGGCAGUAUUUAAAACAAAAGUUAAGAGUAGAUUUCACAUUCCUAGUAGUAGAGAUAGAGAAAAUGAAAUUGAUUUGAAUGAAGAAGUAUACCAACAACAUGUGUCUAUUUCAAUUAAUGGUAUUCCAUCGGAAGAACUUGAUAACUUUACAGUUUUAGCAAGUGGUAAUUAUGAAGAGGUUAAUCUCUUGAUUGAGGAUGAAGAAGAUGACAUGCAAAGAGAUGAAGAUGAAGAAAAUGACAUGGAAGGAGAUGAAAAUGAAGAUGACCAUGAAGAAGAAGAUGAACUUGAAGACGACACUUGUGAAGCUUUUAGUGAUGAUAGUGAUAAUAAUAAAGAACAUGAGUUUGCUUAUUUUGAAAGUGAUUAA
This is a non-coding RNA of Theobroma cacao (cacao), 2081 nucleotides long. NCBI's taxonomy places the organism in Eukaryota, Viridiplantae, Streptophyta, Magnoliopsida, Malvales, Malvaceae. The record is from RefSeq and is a predicted model, not a curated record.